This 24-nucleotide microRNA is filed under the name Glycine max (soybean). RNAcentral describes it as "gma-miR5380a". The record is from miRBase by way of RNAcentral. Lineage: Eukaryota; Viridiplantae; Streptophyta; Magnoliopsida; Fabales; Fabaceae.
GAAAAUGAAUGAUGAGGAUGGGGA